GAUGAACGCUGGCGGCGUGCCUAAUACAUGCAAGUCGAGCGAACGGACGAGAAGCUUGCUUCGCUGAUGUGAGCGGCGGACGGGUGAGUAACACGUGGAUAACCUACCUAUAAGACUGGGAUAACUUCGGGAAACCGGAGCUAAUACCGGAUAAUAUCUUGAACCGCAUGGUUCAAAAGUGAAAGACGGUCUUGCUGUCACUUAUAGAUGGAUCCGCGCUGCAUUAGCUAGUUGGUAAGGUAACGGCUUACCAAGGCAACGAUGCAUAGCCGACCUGAGAGGGUGAUCGGCGACACUGGAGCUGAGACACGGUCAAGACUACUACGAGAGGCAGCAGUAGGCAAUCGUACGCAGUGGGGGAAAGUCUGACGGAGCAACGCCGCGUGAGUGAUGGAGGUCUUCGGAUCGUGAAACUGUGCUAUUAGGGGAGAACAUAUGUGUCAGUAACUGUGCACAUCUUGACGGUACCUGGUCAGGAAGCCACGGCUAACUACGUG
RNAcentral lists this ribosomal RNA (497 nucleotides) under uncultured bacterium. RNAcentral's name for it is "partial 16S ribosomal RNA". It matches the Rfam family "Bacterial small subunit ribosomal RNA", at positions 28 to 507 of the family's 1533-position model. The record is from RNAcentral.